AUUGAACGCUGGCGGCAGGCCUAACACAUGCAAGUCGAACGGUAGCACAGAGGAGCCUGCUCCUUGGGUGACGAGUGGCGGACGGGUGAGUAAUGUCUGGGAAACUGCCCGAUGGAGGGGGAUAACUACUGGAAACGGUAGCUAAUACCGCAUAACGUCUUCGGACCAAAGUGGGGGACCUUCGGGCCUCACACCAUCGGAUGUGCCCAGAUGGGAUUAGCUAGUAGGUGGGGUAAUGGCUCACCUAGGCGACGAUCCCUAGCUGGUCUGAGAGGAUGACCAGCCACACUGGAACUGAGACACGGUCCAGACUCCUACGGGAGGCAGCAGUGGGGAAUAUUGCACAAUGGGCGCAAGCCUGAUGCAGCCAUGCCGCGUGUAUGAAGAAGGCCUUCGGGUUGUAAAGUACUUUCAGCGGGGAGGAAGGCGUUAAGGUUAAUAACCUUGGCGAUUGACGUUACCCGCAGAAGAAGCACCGGCUAACUCCGUGCCAGCCGCCGCUGUAA
Molecule: ribosomal RNA, 506 nt
Filed under: uncultured bacterium
Lineage: Bacteria
Description: partial 16S ribosomal RNA
Rfam family: Bacterial small subunit ribosomal RNA
Source: RNAcentral